This 498-nucleotide unclassified non-coding RNA is filed under the name Oxyphyllum ulicinum. Its description in RNAcentral is "partial external transcribed spacer". Lineage: Eukaryota; Viridiplantae; Streptophyta; Magnoliopsida; Asterales; Asteraceae. The record is from RNAcentral.
UUGUGUGGGUCUGCUAGGCCUUUGGGCUUGGUGGGUGUACAUCGGCAUGGUGGUUUCGGGGAAUGUUUACCGUAAAGGUGCGUGAGUGGUGUUUGGCAUGUUGCGGGUGGUUGGAUGUCUGCGUUCGCAGCAACGUCCACCCGGGCAUGCCUCUUCAUUUGCGUGCAAGGCUCGUUGUUUCGUCCUUGUGCAAUCGUCGGGCUUCCCUGUGUUGGCUUCCUACAUGACGGUAUUGAGUUGCGAUAUCGAAGUACCUUUCGUCGUGCGUUGCUCAUGGGGCGUGCGGUGAACCAUAAAGUGGCCUCUUUGAUCCAUUUAGUUGAUGCUUGUGUGUUGAUGAUAUGGCUCAUUGGACGCUGCCCGGUCUCUUGGAUACAGAACCUUGUUUGGGCAUGGGGUCCUUAUCGAUCCUGUGUUUGCCCAUGUCGAGCGUUCUCGCUUCUCUGAACGAUUGUCGGUUUCGUGUUGACUUGCUCAUGCGUGCCCGACGUUGUCGAA